RNAcentral lists this ribosomal RNA (403 nucleotides) under uncultured bacterium. RNAcentral describes it as "partial 16S ribosomal RNA". It matches the Rfam family "Bacterial small subunit ribosomal RNA", at positions 30 to 526 of the family's 1533-position model. The record is from RNAcentral.
AUUGAACGCUGGCGGCAGGCCUAACACAUGCAAGUCGAGCGAGCGACGGACGGGUGAGUAAUGUAUGGGGACUGCCCGAUAGAGGGGGAUAACUACUGGAAACGGUCGCUAAUACCGCAUCCUAUCGGAUAACCCAUAUGGGAUUAGAUAGUAGGUGAGGUAAUGGCUCACAUAGGCGACGAUCCCUAGCUGGUCUGAGAGGAUGAUCAGCCACACGGGGACUUAGACAAGGACCAGACUCCUACGGAGGCAGCAGUGGGGAAUAUUGCACAAUGGGCGAAAGCCGGAUGCAGCCAUGCCGCGUGGAUGAAGAAGGCCCGAGGGUUGUAAAGUACUUUCAGUCGGGAGGCGUUACCGACAGAAUAAGCCCCGGCUAACUCCGUGCCAGCAGCCGCGGUAAUAC